CCCAGUAGUGGCGAAUGAAGCGGGAAAAGCUCAAGUUUGAAAUCUGGCGGGCGACCGUCCAGAGUUGUAAGCUGGAGAGGUGUCGUCGGAUGCGGUCCGGGCUCAAUUUCCUUGGAACAGGAGGUCAUGGAGGGUGAGAACCCCGUAUGUGGCUUGGGUGCCGCCUUUCCUUGUGACGUAUCCUCUAAGAGUCGGGUUGUUUGGGAAUGCAGCUCAAAAUGGGUGGUAAAUUUCAUCUAAAGCUAAAUAUUGGUGAGAGACCGAUAGCAAACAAGUAGAGUGAUCGAAAGAUGAAAAGUACUUUGAAAAGAGAGUGAAACAGUACGUGAAAUUGUUGAAAGGGAAGCGUUUGGCAUCAGCCCAUGGCGGCGGUCGAACAUCUGGGCUUCUGCCCAGUGCACUCGGCAGUCGCCGGGCCAGCGUCGGUUCCACCUGCUGGAGAAAGGCCUUGGGGAAGUGGCACUCCCUUGUGGAGCGUGUUAUAACCCAUGGCGUCAUGCGGCUUGGUGGGGCCGAGGUCC
This 521-nucleotide ribosomal RNA is filed under the name uncultured Archaeorhizomycetes. RNAcentral describes it as "eukaryotic LSU rRNA". It matches the Rfam family "Eukaryotic large subunit ribosomal RNA", at positions 79 to 600 of the family's 3401-position model. The record is from RNAcentral. Lineage: Eukaryota; Fungi; Ascomycota; Archaeorhizomycetes.